AAUUAUCUCAAUCAGUAGCUGCAUGUGUUGAAUUAAUUGUGUAUAAUUAUAUACCUGAUGCAAAUUUGACAUGGACAAUCGUCCCUGCCCCUCCAUGGUAAAUGCAUGACCUGAGUUUUUUCAAUCAUAUCUGGAAGAUGAUUGGAACUGAUUUUGCAAAAAUGGUCGAAGACGGGUUGAACUGAUUAGGUAAAAAUAGUCGAUGACGGGUUCAAUUGAUUCUGCAAAAAUAAUUGAGAACGAGUUGAACUAAUUCUGCAAAAAUGGUCGAGGACCGAUUGAGCUGAUUCUGCAAAAAUGGUUGAGGACGGUUUGAACUGAUUCUUCAAAAAUAAUUGAGGAUGGAUCAAACUGAUUCUACAAAAAUGGGUGAGGACAGGUCGAACUGGAUGAGGACAGGUUGAACUGAUUCUGCAAAAAUAGUCGAGGACGGGUUGAACUACUUCUGGAAAAAUGGUAGAGGAUAGGUUGAACUAAUUCUGCAAAAAGGGAUGAGAAUUGAUUGAAUUGAUUUUGCAAAGAUGGUUAAGGACGGGUUGAACUGAUUCUGCAAAAAUAGUCGAAGAUUGAUUGAACUGAUUCUGCAAAAAUAGUCAAAGAUGGUUUGAGCUGAUUCUGCAAAAAUGGACGAGAAUUGAUUAAACUGAUUAUGUAAAAAUGGAUGAGAAUUGAUUGAACUAAUUCUGGAAGGGUGGGUUGAACUGCUUCUAGUAAUAAAAGAUACAAACUAAUAAAGCUCCCAUAAAAUUUCAGUUUAUAAACUAGUGAAAUUCUUUAAAAUAUAAUAAAAAAAAUCGUCUCUAUAUAAAGCUUCCAUAUAAUUUCAGUUUAUCAAUGGAAAUAUUCUAUUGCUAAACUACGAUGGAAAUAAUCUUUAUUUAUAAUUAGUUAAGUAAAUUGUUGAUUUAAAUAUAGUUCAUUGUGGCUCAGAUUCACAAUCUAAAAAAUUUACAUAAAACAAUUGUUAAACAAUACACGUAUGACAAUAGAACAAUACGCUCUUAAAGGUUUUUACAAAAUGCAGACUUUCCUGGGUUUAGGGUUUACUAAUUUACUAGUUUAAUUAGGGUUUAUUCAUUUAAGUUGUUACAAUCUGAGGACGCCAUCUUUGAACAUACGACAUGUUUUCUUUCUUUCUUCUCUCUACAUUUUUAACAUAUGAUAUUUGAAGUUUGAAUAUAAAAAAAAAUAACCAUCAGGUUCGUCUCCUAAAAAAUGAUAACCACAGUCCAAAUAGUUGAAAUUAAUUAAAAUUAAUUAAUUGGGUAUUAACCAAUCAAAACCAAUGUGCGUUUGUAGGAGGUAGGUAGCAUUGAGGUUGCAUCAUUCGCUCAGUCAUUCGUUAACGUUUCAAUUGCUUUAGUUCCGUUCAAGUCACGUUGUUUAUUUCAGAGAAAUGCUAGCGUCAGUCGUUCACGCAUACGUGAAAGAUCGAUAAAUAUAUAAAUAAAACAAUUGAAUCCCACAAAUGACAAUUCCCAACUACUACUAGCCAAUUAUUACGAAAAGCAAGAACAAAAGAUCAAGAUUCAAACCCUAGUAGAAGAGAAGAGCAGAGAAAAGGAGAAGAAGAACAAUCUUCUUUCUUUCUUCCCUUGCAACUUUAAAAGUAACCGCAACAAGUAACAAGAAGACUGUGGAUGACCAAAGUUCUGGGCCCGACCCGACCCAUGGUGUGGAGCCCGGCAAGAAAACAAAUCAGAUAUGUCUCACGUGCGAGUGGUGGAGGGGUGGGGAAAGUCGGAGGCUUUCGCAAGGGCCCACAGCCUACGUGUGAGGUGACAUGCCACAACUACAACGGCCAAUGGUCGGUCGUCGCCAUCCUCAGUCGG
RNAcentral lists this long non-coding RNA (1832 nucleotides) under Malus domestica (apple). RNAcentral describes it as "long non-coding RNA (MDOM_LNC003333)". The record is from RNAcentral. Lineage: Eukaryota; Viridiplantae; Streptophyta; Magnoliopsida; Rosales; Rosaceae.